RNAcentral lists this ribosomal RNA (254 nucleotides) under uncultured bacterium. RNAcentral's name for it is "partial 16S ribosomal RNA". It matches the Rfam family "Bacterial small subunit ribosomal RNA", at positions 524 to 776 of the family's 1533-position model. The record is from RNAcentral.
UACGGGGGGGGCAAGCGUUGUUCGGAAUUACUGGGCGUAAAGGGCGCGUAGGCGGCCUGCUAAGUCGGACGUGAAAUCCCUCGGCUCAACCGGGGAACUGCGUCCGAUACUGGCGAGGCUUGAAUCCGGGAGAGGGAUGUGGAAUUCCAGGUGUAGCGGUGAAAUGCGUAGAUAUCUGGAGGAACACCUGAGGCGAAGGCGGGCUACUGGGCCGAUACUGACGCUGAUGUGCGAAAGCCAGGGGAGCGAACGGG